UCUGUCCUUCAACACUUGUGCAGUUACCGGUAAUGCUAUUCACACUAAUAUUAUUUCGUGUUCUUUUAAGCGCAUUAACUAAAUACCCAGUCAGUCGAAAAGGACGGAAAACUCGCAAAACAAAACUUCCUCUACACAAACACACACCAUCCGGAAAGAGAGGAGAUGACAUCCGACCGAAACCGCCGCUUCACGUCACAUGUUCAACAUGGCUGCUACCAGAGAGCUGUGAAGCUGAUGUAAAUACUUCAGAAAACAUCAUGUCACUGAAGAAAGCUCUGUCUGCAGCUUCUCCACUCACUCUACGAAUCGUCGCUGAAUGCCCAGUGACAAAGGCAAGAGCCUGUGAUCUAAUUCUGCCUCACUCUGCUGUGAGCACCCCGGUGUUCAUGCCUGUCGGUACUCAGGGCACUAUGAAGGGAAUCACUGUGGAUCAGUUGGAGGGUCUUGGCUGUCAGAUUUGUCUAGGAAACACAUAUCACCUGGGCAUGAGACCGGGGCCUGAUUUGAUUGAGAAAGCAAAUGGUUUACAUGGGUUCAUGAACUGGAAGCGAAAUCUUUUAACUGACAGCGGGGGCUUUCAGAUGGUGUCUCUUGUUAAGCUCUCAGAGGUCACAGAGGAAGGGGUGAAGUUCAAGUCCCCCUAUGAUGGCAAAGAGAUCCUCCUUAGUCCUGAGAAAUCCAUCGACAUACAGAACAGUCUGGGGUCAGACAUCAUGAUGCAGCUGGACGAUGUGAUCAGCAGUACCCUGAAAGGGCCGCGAGUCGAAGAGGCAAUGCACAGAUCCAUCCGCUGGCUGGACCGUUGCAUAGCAGCCAAUAAAAAUCCAGACAAACAAAACCUUUUUGCAAUCAUCCAGGGAGGGCUGAAUGUAGAGCUGCGCAAGGCCUGUCUAGAUGAAAUGACUCAACGCGACGUUCCUGGUUUUGCCAUCGGAGGCCUGAGUGGAGGAGAAGAGAAGAAUGAUUUCUGGCGGAUGGUCACCCUGAGCACUGACCACCUGCCACGAGAAAAGCCUCGAUACCUCAUGGGUGUGGGGUAUCCUGUGGACUUGGUGGUGUGUGUAGCUCUGGGAUGUGAUAUGUUUGACUGCGUGUUCCCCACCCGCACUGCAAGGUUUGGCUCUGCCUUGGUGCCUUGGGGAUCCCUCCAGAUAAAACAUAACCAGUAUGCCAAAGACUUCCAGCCCAUAGACCCAGACUGCCAGUGUCCCACCUUGCAAGAGACAUAGUCGGGCUUACCUCCAUGCUCUGUUUAAGAGUGACACUGCAGCCACACAUCACGUCACCAUCCACAACAUUGCCUACCAGCUCACCCUGAUGCUCUCUGUGAGACGAAGCAUUGUGGAAGGCCGCUUCCCUGAGUUCAUACAGACGUUCAUGAAGCGAAUGUUUCCCUCUCGUGACCAGUACCCCGGCUGGGCUGUGGACGCCCUCGCCUCCGUCAACGUUACAUUGGAAUAGAACUUGGAAGCCAAACGUCCUGCUCUAAAAUGGGGACGUCAAACUGUGACCGAAAGAUUUUAUAUCUUUUUAAAUGACUUUAUUUGUAUUUUUAUGGAUGAUUGUUUUUCUACUCUUUGUUUAUAUUUGUGUAUGAAUUGCCAGUUUGGUUGCCGACGAGGAAAAUGGCUUUUGAUCUGAAGGGGUAAAGCCUGGUUGUCUUCUGCUUUACUCAGCCUCUGCAAAUUGUCCUCAUAAUGUGAGACUGAAUGGGGUUUAAAUGAGGUUUGAAACACAUGAACUAUCUCCUCUGAUAUGCUCCGACACUUUUUGUUGUUACCAUGGCUACAGAGCUAGGCCCACCCACUUGAAAUGAAAUGUUUUGCCCUCCUGUGUCAACCUGGUAUUUGAUUUUUUUUUUCUCCCAAAUGCACAAGAUUAAUAAAUGUAUAUUUACUCGGCUGUUUUAACCUUCAUCCUAACAGACUAGUAGUUGUCAGAUGACUGUUUGAACAGAUAAAUGAGUCGAGCUCAGUACAGAUCGUGUGCUUGUGUCAUGAUGACCACCAGAGGGCCAAAUAGAGAGAACCAGAGCAAAGGGACUGUAAAACCAAAGGAUAUGCUAUGUUUCCUAAUAGAGUUAAAAGCAGUUCAGCUGUAAGUACAAAUAACAUGCAAUUACAGUAGGCAUAUGAGCUCAAAUAUAGGAGUGCACAAAAGCAUACAUAUAAAAAAUGAAUCCCAAACUAAGGCAGCAUCUUAUUAAAAUAGUAUAACAUUAUUCUUAUCCAUUGUUCGUCUUCAUGUUCUUGUCCAUUCAAUGGGCAGUAAUCCUGUAUGACCUCUGAGUGGAGGUUUUGUUUGGAGCUUACCGAGGUGCUGCUUUAUCAAGGAUCUGUUGUGGGUGAUUAAUAUUAA
Cottoperca gobio is the source of this 2361-nucleotide RNA transcript. It is a transcript of the gene named queuine tRNA-ribosyltransferase 1, with no coding region annotated. NCBI's taxonomy places the organism in Eukaryota, Metazoa, Chordata, Actinopteri, Perciformes, Bovichtidae. The record is from RefSeq and is a predicted model, not a curated record. The transcript is spliced from 10 exons.